UCUACGGCCAUAGCACCCUGAACGCGCCCGAUGGCGUCUGAUCUUGGGAGCUAAGCAGGGUCGGGUCUGGUUAGUACUUGGAUGGGAGAGAGGUGGAAACUAAGGCUCAGAAAGGU
Ribosomal RNA from Prolemur simus (greater bamboo lemur), 116 nucleotides. Lineage: Eukaryota; Metazoa; Chordata; Mammalia; Primates; Lemuridae. The record is from Ensembl.